UCCGCCUACGGGGGGCAGCAGUGGGGAAUAUUGCACAAUGGGGGAAACCCUGAUGCAGCGACGCCGCGUGAGCGAUGAAGUAUUUCGGUAUGUAAAGCUCUAUCAGCAGGGUAGAAAAUGACGGUACCUGACUAAGAAGCCCCGGCUAACUACGUGCCAGCAGCCGCGGUAAUACGUAGGGGGCACGCGUUAUCCGGAUUUACUGGGUGUAAAGGGGGCGCAGACGGCGAUGCAAGCCAGGAGUGAAAGCCCGGGGCCCAACCCCGGGACUGCUCUUG
This 278-nucleotide ribosomal RNA is filed under the name uncultured bacterium. RNAcentral's name for it is "partial 16S ribosomal RNA". It matches the Rfam family "Bacterial small subunit ribosomal RNA", at positions 334 to 629 of the family's 1533-position model. The record is from RNAcentral.